AUGCUUAACACAUGCAAGUCGAACGGUAACAUUGGAGCUUGCUCCAGAUGACGAGUGGCGGACGGGUGAGUAACGCGUAGGUAUCUGCCUAGUAGUGGGGGACAACAUGUGGAAACGCAUGCUAAUACCGCAUACGCCCUACGGGGGAAAGCGGGGGAUCUUCGGACCUCGCGCUAUUAGAUGAGCCUGCGUUAGAUUAGCUAGUUGGUGGGGUAAUGGCCUACCAAGGCGACGAUCUAUAGCUGGUCUGAGAGGACGAUCAGCCACACUGGGACUGAGACACGGCCCAGACUCCUACGGGAGGCAGCAGUGGGGAAUAUUGGACAAUGGGCGAAAGCCUGAUCCAGCAAUACCACGUGUGUGAAGAAGGCCUGAGGGUUGUAAAGCACUUUCAAUUGGGAGGAAAAAAGCUGGGUUAAUAGCCCUGCUCUUGACAUUACCUUUAGAAGAAGCACCGGCUAACUCCGUGCCAGCAGCCGCGGUAAUACGGAGGGUGCGAGCGUUAAUCGGAAUUACUGGGCGUAAAGCGUACGUAGGCGGUUAUUUAAGUCAGAUGUGAAAGCCCCGGGCUCAACCUGGGAACUGCAUUUGAUACUGGAUAACUAGAGUUUGAUAGAGGAGAGUAGAAUUUCUGGUGUAGCGGUGAAAUGCGUAGAGAUCAGAAGGAAUACCAGUGGCGAAGGCGGCUCUCUGGAUCAAAACUGACGCUGAGGUACGAAAGCGUGGGUAGCAAACAGGAUUAGAUACCCUGGUAGUCCACGCCGUAAACGAUGUCAACUAGCCGUUGGGUCCAAUUAAGGACUUAGUGGUGCAGCUAACGCAUUAAGUUGACCGCCUGGGGAGUACGGCCGCAAGGCUAAAACUCAAAUGAAUUGACGGGGGCCCGCACAAGCGGUGGAGCAUGUGGUUUAAUUCGAUGCAACGCGAAGAACCUUACCUACCC
RNAcentral lists this ribosomal RNA (943 nucleotides) under uncultured prokaryote. RNAcentral's name for it is "bacterial SSU rRNA". It matches the Rfam family "Bacterial small subunit ribosomal RNA", at positions 44 to 980 of the family's 1533-position model. The record is from RNAcentral.